Molecule: ribosomal RNA, 327 nt
Filed under: uncultured bacterium
Lineage: Bacteria
Description: bacterial SSU rRNA
Rfam family: Bacterial small subunit ribosomal RNA
Source: RNAcentral
GACGAACGCUGGCGGCGUGCCUAACACAUGCAAGUCGAACGGAGAUUUUAUGGAAUGCGACUUCGGUCAAAUGAAAUUUAAUCUUAGUGGCGGACGGGUGAGUAACACGUGAGCAACCUGCCUUUCAGAGGGGAAUAACGGCUGGAAACGGUCGCUAAUACCGCAUAACAUACACUUAAGGCAUCUUUAGUGUAUCAAAGAUUUUAUCGCUGAAAGAUGGGCUCGCGUCUGAUUAGCUAGUUGGUGAGGUAAUGGCUCACCAAGGCGACGAUCCAGUAGCCGGACUGAGAGGUUGAACGGCCACAUUGGGACUGAGACACGGCCCAG